GAGAACGCUGGCGGCGGUGCUUAACAACAUGCAAGUCGAACGGGAGGUAUUGUAAGAAGCUUGCUUUAGUAGAUACUUUAGUGGCGGACGGGUGGAGUAACGCGUGAGGAGCUGUCCUAUGCAGGGGGACAACAGCUGGAAACGGCUGCUAAUACCCCAUAAGCCGAGAGGUAAAAGGAUCAAUCCGGCAGAGGAGGUACUCGCGUCCUAUCAGCUAGUAGGUGAGGUAACGGCUCACCUAGGCGAAGACGGGUAGCCGGCCUGAGAGGGCGAACGGCCACACUGGAACUGAGAUACGGUCCAGACUCCUACGGGAGGCAGCAGGUGGGGAAUAUUGGGCAAUGGGGGAGACCCUGACCCAGCGACGCCGCGUGAGGGAUGAAGGUUUUCGGAUCGUAAACCUCUGUUGUACGGGAAGAAGGAUGUGACGGUACCGUACGAGAAAGCCCCGGCAAACUACGUGCCAGCAGCCGCGUAAUCUAGUCUACG
RNAcentral lists this ribosomal RNA (489 nucleotides) under uncultured bacterium. RNAcentral describes it as "bacterial SSU rRNA". It matches the Rfam family "Bacterial small subunit ribosomal RNA", at positions 31 to 531 of the family's 1533-position model. The record is from RNAcentral.